This 485-nucleotide ribosomal RNA is filed under the name uncultured bacterium. RNAcentral describes it as "partial 16S ribosomal RNA". It matches the Rfam family "Bacterial small subunit ribosomal RNA", at positions 28 to 506 of the family's 1533-position model. The record is from RNAcentral.
GACGAACGCUGGCGGCGUGCUUAACACAUGCAAGUCGAACGCUGAAGACCUGGCUUUUGUUGGGUUGGAUGAGUGGCGAACGGGUGAGUAACACGUGAGUAACCUGCCCUCUUCUUUGGGAUAACGCCCGGAAACGGGUGCUAAUACUGGAUAUUCACUGAUCUUCGCAUGGGGGUUGGUGGAAAGGGUUGUUCUGGUGGGGGAUGGGCUCGCGGCCUAUCAGCUUGUUGGUGGGGUGAUGGCCUACCAAGGCUUUGACGGGUAGCCGGCCUGAGAGGGUGACCGGUCACAUUGGGACUGAGAUACGGCCCAGACUCCUACGGGAGGCAGCAGUGGGGAAUAUUGCACAAUGGGCGAAAGCCUGAUGCAGCGACGCCGCGUGAGGGAUGGAGGCCUUCGGGUUGUAAACCUCUUUCGCUCAUGGUCAAGCCGCAACUGUGGGUUGUGGUGAGGGUAGUGGGUAAAGAAGCGCCGGCUAACUACGU